RNAcentral lists this ribosomal RNA (232 nucleotides) under uncultured bacterium. RNAcentral's name for it is "partial 16S ribosomal RNA". It matches the Rfam family "Bacterial small subunit ribosomal RNA", at positions 118 to 347 of the family's 1533-position model. The record is from RNAcentral.
UGAGCAAUCUGCCCUUCUCUUUGGAAUAAGCGUUGGAAACGACGUCUAAUGCCGAAUACGACCUCCUUUCGCAUGAUCGGAGGUGGAAAGCUCCGGCGGAGAAGGAUGAGCUCGCGGCCUAUCAGCUAGUUGGUGUGGGUAAUGGCCCACCAAGGCGACGACGGGUAGCCGGCCUGAGAGGGUGACCGGCCACACGUGGGACUGAGACACGGCCCAGACCUCCGUACGGGGA